GCCCGCGGCUACGGGGCUGGCGCUGCCGGAGCCGGGCCGGACCGGGGUCCGAGAUCUGCGUCGCGCUGGGCACGCUGGCCACCCGGUCCGGAAUGAGUCGGGGCUCCGGGAGGUGCCCGUGGGCAGAGCGUUAGGGGCGCGGCCGUGCCGGACCCGCCCUGGGGACCCGCUGGAGCUGGAGGAGGAACUAACUAGCCAGCUUCCGUUCCUCAGCCUUUCUUCUCUAAACACCAAGUUCCACCAUUGACAGAACACUGAGUCCUGCACAGUCACAUGGACACGAGUAAGGAGAGUUCAGAGGCUGCAGUGGAGUUCCACACGAAGCACAGGAGGUGAAACCCCUUUUUCCUGGCUCCUCAGGAGACAUGUGAAGACAACGCGAUUAGAGGUCCUUCAGGCACGGAUAGGAUGGCUUGGCAUCUUCUUCCGAGCAAGCGCAGCUCUCAGGCCGGGCCUGAGCCUGCAGCCUGUGUGCCCUCCAUCAUCAGGGCCCCCUCUCAGGACAGGCUACACCGAGGGUGGGACGGCGGACUUCCAGGGACACUUCCAAGUCGUGCCCAUGCAGAUACCUCAGUAUACACUGCCCACAGUUAAGAAACCACGACCUGAGACAUUGUUUUGAAGAGGUGAAAAUGCCUCCACUCAAGUGGCCCAGGAGCGUGAUCCAGGAAGACGAACACACAGAACCAUCUUCUGCAUGGUUUGAAAAUUCAGUGGAAACUAGGACUCCAAGCUGCUGUCCCCUCUCUGCCGCAUCUGAGGCUGGGAAAACUUCCUAGGAGAAGGCAAGAGAAAGCCACCAGACCAGAGCCGAGGACUAAACUUUAAGGUCGAAGACGGCAGAGGGGCAGGUUCUCCCCUGCACACCCCAAGGCCUCUCCUGCACCCGCGAGGCCUUCCUUGAGCGCCCAGGCCCCCGAAAUGCCUGCCCUCCUUCUGACAAAAGGAGGGGGUAGGAUGUGAAGGGGUAGUGCAACCAACAAUGUUUUUGUAAACACAACAACAGGGAAAUACAUGGAGGAAAUCUAUUUAUUGGGUGUGUCAUUUUUGGUGGGGGGCGGGAUUGAAAGUGGCGCCAUCUAGACCCAGGAAAAAGCUACGGGGUGGGCGGGGUAAGCGGGGGACUCUUGGUAAAUGUGGAUAAUUUUGAACUGGGACACCAUUUUGUUUCCUUCCUAGAGCAUUGUAUGAUGUGGCCUGAAGGCUCUGGAAAGUCACAGAUCACACCCAGCAGGAGGUUCUUCAUGUGUGCCAGCCCCUGGCUGGGCCUGGGCAGCCUUGCCCCCAUCCUCUGGCCCCAGCUCCUGCCACCCCACCUGCAGACAAGGCUGCCAAAGGCUAGGGACAGGGCUCCAAGCUAGAGGCCGGCUUUUUGGAGAUGUGGCUGUGGGAGGGGAAUCCCAGGAAGUUGCAUAGAGAGGGAGUUUUUGCCAGCCUGGGUCACUGAUGGCCAGUCCGGGUCACUGAUGUCUCCCCAGGGGCAAGGGGACAGUGCCUGGCUAAUUGUGGGUUUCAAAAUCUGUCUGUUGAGGGGAUGCAGAGGUCAUCAUUGGGGGGUGAAGCUGAUGGUCCACAGAAGCUCUGGGCACAGGUUGGACCUCUUUCCUGCACAAAGAACCCUCCAGGGUGCCCAGUGGUUCUGGCCAGCGCCGGAGCCAGUGACGGUUGGCUUGUUCUGGCCUUCCUCCCCUUCUCACACAUGCAUUCUCUUGCACACGUGUCACACACAUUCCUACACACUCACACAAAUUCUCACACAAAUUCCCAGAAUCAAUCUCCCACAUACACAUCCAAGUCACACACUCAUUCUUACAUGCGAUUCACAGAUUCACACGAUUCACAGAUGCAACAGACUCACAGGCAUUCACUCUUACAUAUGACACAGUUGCACACUUGCACACACACACACACACACACACGCACUGCAAUCCCCUUGCAUCUCCACAGUGUCGAAGGCUGGCUGAACACCAAGGUGGCUCUUGGUGGCAGGACUUCUCAUGGGAGGGAAAGUCACAUAGCUGGAAGGUUACUAGCUUAGGGACAUAAUUUCCUUAUUGACUAUAAUCUCCUUAUAGAAAUUCAACAACUAUAGCAGAAAAUGGAGAAUGAGGACAUUUUAUUUCUCAAAGUCAACAGUUCCUUUUCUCCUGCACCUUCGGAGCAGGCUCCUGCCUGAGGCUGCUGAGGUGCUCUGGGUUCUCGCUGUUUGUUUUCAGCAUCCAGGUUCAGGCUUUUCUCAGUGCAUUUUCCUCGGCUGCCCUUGGACUUGUGUUGUCCGGGGUGGUGGCCACUGGCCCCCAGUGGCUACUGAGCAGGGAGAGCAGGGCCCCUCUGUGGUGAGGCGUGCUGCUCAGUGUAAAACACACACGAGAUUUUCCAGAUGCAGUACUCAAAAGCAUGUGAAACUCCUCAGUCAUCACUUAAAAUAUUGAUCACAGGUUGAAAUGAUUAUAUUUUAGAUACCUUAGGUUAAGUAAAAUAUAUUAUUGAAAUUUCACCUUCUUUUUGCUUUCUAAAAAUGUAGCUCUUAGGAACUUUGCAAUUACCUACAUGGCUAUUUGUGUGUUAUCUUCCUGCUGGGCAGUGUGAGACCUUCUCACAGAUCCUUCAGAAAUGUCAAAGGAAAAGCAAAAAUGGUGGAGAAGGCUGAGCACGUGGCCUCGCGGGAGGCCGGCUCAGAGCUGUUCUGAAGUUGCUUUUGUAACACAAUCUAUUCUCAAAGCUCCUUUUCUUUCAAUGGGGCAGGUUGGGGGUGGGGGGGGGGGGGAUAUUACACCUUGUAUUUUACUUCUCGAUUCAUUUUCUUUCCAUUUUAACUUUAAUUCCGUCUAAUUACUGUAUUGUGAGCUCAGUCAGCAAUCUUGCAUGAACUCUGCAGUAACUUCUGAAGACUCUUGCUCCAAGUGUUUGAUAAUGAGGAGAUGUGCAGGACUAAGGCGACUGUGUGAUGUCUGCACAGUUCGAAAGCCCGCUUUCCUGUUACUUUCAAAUCUCGGGUCAGCAUUUUGGAACUUUUCUGCUUUAAUUUUUCCACACACACCUCUCACUGCGACCACCUACCAUCACCACAACCCAAAACAAAGCAAACAAACAGAAAGCUUGAACAAGAAUUUACAUCUGGGAAAACGCUUCUACUCAUCAAGAGUGGAAUUCCUUUUUAUUCCUAUAAUUGACUCACAGCUUCAAAAAUCUGUGAAGUCAUACUUUGGUCACGGAAGUUGCAAGAAACCAUAUUUGCAAACGUUUUAUUUUAAAGAAGGUAUUUAAAAAUAUUUCACAUAUUAGCCACAGAUUUCUAGAAGUGAAGUUAUAAAAAUUAGAAAUUAUAUUUUGCCUUUUGAUGAUAGCAAGUGAAAAGAGAUUGCUCCAAGCAUGUUUUCAAUAAAUUCAGUAUAACUGCAACACAAAAAUUCUGCAUGCAGGCUUCAUACACACACGUUAUAAUUUUAUGCAUUUAUCUUGAGAGUUGUAUAAUUAAUUUUAAAAAUGCAACAGAAAUGUGAAGUUAAGUCUACUUUGCCAAUAAUGGAAAUGUCUCAUAGAUAAUUUUGAAUACAAUUAAAAUUUUGUUUUUAUCAUAAAAGGAACUGUCCUGUUGCUCAUUAUUAGUAUGUUGUC
This 3618-nucleotide long non-coding RNA is filed under the name Homo sapiens (human). Its description in RNAcentral is "non-protein coding SOX1-OT:18". The record is from RNAcentral. Lineage: Eukaryota; Metazoa; Chordata; Mammalia; Primates; Hominidae.